GAUGAACGCUGGCGGCGUGCUUAACACAUGCAAGUCGAACGGAAAGGCUCCUGCUUGCAGGGGUACUCGAGUGGCGAACGGGUGAGUAACACGUGGGUGAUCUGCCCAGCACUUCGGGAUAAGCCUGGGAAACUGGGUCUAAUACCGGAUAGGACGAUGGUUUGGAUGCCAUUGUGGAAAGUUUUUUCGGUGUGGGAUGAGCUCGCGGCCUAUCAGCUUGUUGGUGGGGUAAUGGCCUACCAAGGCGUCGACGGGUAGCCGGCCUGAGAGGGUGUACGGCCACAUUGGGACUGAGAUACGGCCCAGACUCCUACGGGAGGCAGCAGUGGGGAAUAUUGCACAAUGGGCGCAAGCCUGAUGCAGCGACGCCGCGUGGGGGAUGACGGCCUUCGGGUUGUAAACUCCUUUCGCUAGGGACGAAGCGCAAGUGACGGUAUCUGGAGAAGAAGCACCGGCUAACUACGUG
This 466-nucleotide ribosomal RNA is filed under the name uncultured bacterium. Its description in RNAcentral is "partial 16S ribosomal RNA". It matches the Rfam family "Bacterial small subunit ribosomal RNA", at positions 28 to 507 of the family's 1533-position model. The record is from RNAcentral.